Molecule: ribosomal RNA, 375 nt
Filed under: uncultured Clostridia bacterium
Lineage: Bacteria; Bacillati; Bacillota; Clostridia
Description: bacterial SSU rRNA
Rfam family: Bacterial small subunit ribosomal RNA
Source: RNAcentral
CGCGUGGGUAACCUGCCCUGUACACACGGAUAACAUACCGAAAGGUAUGCUAAUACGAGAUAAUAUACUUUUAUCGCAUGGUAGAAGUAUCAAAGCUCCGGCGGUACAGGAUGGACCCGCGUCUGAUUAGCUAGUUGGUAAGGUAACGGCUUACCAAGGCGACGAUCAGUAGCCGACCUGAGAGGGUGAUCGGCCACAUUGGAACUGAGACACGGUCCAAACUCCUACGGGAGGCAGCAGUGGGGAAUAUUGCACAAUGGGCGAAAGCCUGAUGCAGCAACGCCGCGUGAGCGAUGAAGGCCUUCGGGUCGUAAAGCUCUGUCCUCAAGGAAGAUAAUGACGGUACUUGAGGAGGAAGCCCCGGCUAACCACGUG